CCUACGGGAGGCAGCAGUGGGGAAUAUUGCACAAUGGGCGCAAGCCUGAUGCAGCGACGCCGCGUGCGGGAUGGAGGCCUUCGGGUUGUAAACCUCUUUUGUUCGAGGGCAAGGCACGGUCUUUUGCCGUGUUGUGUGGUUUGUUUGCAUACGCACCGGCUAACUACGUGCCAGCAGCCGCGGUACUACGUAGGGGGCAAGCGUUAUCCGGAUUUCUUGGGCGGAAAGCGUUCGUAGGCGGUUCGUCGCGUCCGGUGUGAAAGUCCAUCGCUUAACGGUGGAUCCGCGCCGGAUACUGGCGGGCUUGAGUGCGGUAGGGGAGAGUGGAAUUCCCGGUGUAACGGUGGAAUGUGUAGAUAUCGGGAAGAACACCAGUGGCGAAGGCAGGUCUCUGGGCCGUGACUGACGCUGAGGAGCGAAAGCGUGGGGAGCGAACAGGAUUAGAUACCCUUGUAGUC
Molecule: ribosomal RNA, 458 nt
Filed under: uncultured bacterium
Lineage: Bacteria
Description: partial 16S ribosomal RNA
Rfam family: Bacterial small subunit ribosomal RNA
Source: RNAcentral